Molecule: ribosomal RNA, 253 nt
Filed under: uncultured bacterium
Lineage: Bacteria
Description: partial 16S ribosomal RNA
Rfam family: Bacterial small subunit ribosomal RNA
Source: RNAcentral
UACGUAGGGUGCAAGCGUUGUCCGGAAUUAUUGGGCGUAAAGGGUAGGUAGGUGGUCUCAUUUGUCUGGGGUGAAAGCCUUGAGCUUAACUCAAGAAGUGCCCUAGAAACGGUGAGACUGGAGUCCUGGAGAGGGUCGUGGAAUUCCCGGUGUAGCGGUGAAAUGCGUAGAGAUCGGGAGGAACACCAGCGGCGAAGGCGGCGACCUGGACAGGUACUGACACUCAACUACGAAAGCGUGGGGAGCAAACAGG